GACGGAGGAUGCAAGCGUUAUCCGGAAUGAUUGGGCGUAAAGCGUCCGCAGGUGGCAGUUCAAGUCUGCUGUCAAAGACCGGGGCUUAACUUCGGAAAGGCAGUGGAAACUGAACAGCUAGAGUAUGGUAGGGGCAGAGGGAAUUCCUGGUGUAGCGGUGAAAUGCGUAGAGAUCAGGAAGAACAUCGGUGGCGAAAGCGACUGCCUGGCCAAAUACUGACGCUCAUGUGCGAAAGCGUGGGGAGCAAACAGG
This 253-nucleotide ribosomal RNA is filed under the name uncultured bacterium. RNAcentral describes it as "partial 16S ribosomal RNA". It matches the Rfam family "Bacterial small subunit ribosomal RNA", at positions 524 to 776 of the family's 1533-position model. The record is from RNAcentral.